AUUAAUAAUUCAACAUACAAGUAAUAUGACUAAAUUUUAAUCACAUACAUGCAUCCAACUAUAAUCAAGUUCUUUUACAUUCUUGCAUCAUUUCUUUUUACAUCUCAUUUCUCCCAAAAUAUAACUUUUGACAUUUAAAAUAAAUAUCCUUUACAUCAUUCAUUAAAACAUGUUCAUGAUACUAAAAUCAUCAAAUACAAAAGAUGAUAGUAAAGGAUAUGCGACUACAAAAUGAUAACCAUCUCGGGCGGUCUCUAACUAGGGCGCGAUGCCCUUACCGCGAUCAUCCGCCGGCUCGCUCGGUCCGAGCUCUGUGGAAAAUGGGGUGUGAGAACUACAACAAAGUUUCCAGUGGAUUCGGCAACCAACCACGCCGACUUUCCCAGCCUUGGGCUGACAGGGAAAGCUCUGUCCGUUCGGCGUCUGUUUGACGCCCUCGAACCGGCCAAAAGGAUCGGGCUCGGGGCGUGACAGUCAAUCUUCUCAUUCUCCAACUACGCCUUUUGCAACCUCUGUUGCAUCAGUACGACAACUUGUCAUAGAGUGAAACUGCUGGAGCGAUCAAAUUUCUCGAUCUCAAAUUUUUUUGACGUCUUUAACACCCAAACGAACACUCUGGCUCUUAUACCAGUUUGUUAGAACUAAAACCGAAAAGAUUUAGUUCGUCGGGUGCGAAAAUACCAAAAGAGAUCCGAGAAAAAAAGAAGAAAAAUAAAGCACACAAUAUUUACGUGGUUCGGCCACCGGCCUACGUCCACGGGAGAAGUCGGAGCGAAGAUUUUCAUUGUAAUCAAACUGGUGUAUAAAAUAUGCCUCUCUCACAAAACCCUAAUCUCAAAAAUACACCCAUACUUUCUCUCUCAUCUUCCGCACUAAACUAAUGGAAUAAAGGGUAUAUUUAUAAUAGUGGCUAAAUCCUAAUACAACUAGAAAUACAAACCCACUAAAAUUAGUAAUAUCUCAAUAAAAUUAGGCAUAAUCUAAACUUAACUUAAUGGGUUUUUUGUGGACAAUAAAUUAAAGAUUUUUUGUAAUUUAUUUGACUAUCUCUUUCUUCAAAACAAUUAUGAAUAUUGGCAGGACAUCAAAAAAAUUUCAAUAGAGAGCUCUCUAAUAAUGAUGCCUUAUUAAGGAGCCAUAACCUGCUGUCAUAUGUCAAUUUUGUCGUUAUCCAAAAAUUAUAAUACUUUUUAUAGGAAUAAAAAAAAUAGUAUUAAAAACUAUCCAAUAAACUCAUGAAUGGAAGUAAAAUUAAAACGUGGGAGGGGAUUGAGGGUUUCGAAAUAUGAUGUCAUUAGGAAGUUCCCAACUAAAAUUUUAUUGCAUAUCAUUUGUACAACCACAAAAAAUUGAUAAGAGCCACUUGUAAUAAAAAGUGGCGUGGCUUGGUGGUUGAAUUCGAUGCACAUAAGGGUAUAAUGUAGGCCAUAUCGGACUGGCAAGAUACACAUUUAUUUGAAACAAAACGGAUCAGCAUGGCUUUGAAUCCGAGCCAUAUCCUGCCAAGCCUCAUCAAAUUUUAUGAACCUGUGGCUCAAAUAUCUAAAACCUGUAGGGACCACUCAACCCUAGGACGGACCACUAUCAUCUUAACUAUAUAAUUCUUGAUUUAAGAGCCAAAAAGUCGAAAGUAUGAACUCCCUUAUACUUCUGAAAGUAUAGUAGCUCUACACUAUUGCUGAAGCUAGAAACCCGAUGUGAGGCGAGACGGACCGAAUUAGAGCACUGACUAUGUCAAGUUCUCCUUCAGGAAGCGAGUCGACUCCGGAGAUGACCCUCGAGUGCGCCACUGACGAGUCGAGUGAUUCGGCUGAGGGAUCGGCUCAACCAGAUUCUUCCACACACUGUUUACAAACUCAACUGAUCUGAGCCGAGUGGUUUGUAUUAAAGAUAAAAUAGAGGUACAAGAGUUGUUACAAAUAUCAACCCCAUCGCUAACCCUACUUUAUCAUGCUCUUAGUUGCGAGAGAAAUAACUAGAAAAUCUACCUAAAAUAACAAGGAAAGAUGAGUUUACAAACUCAGCUAAUGGCUCCUCUCUGCCUCAUCCUGUCGUUUCAUCUCCUACCACCUAACCCUGGUGCCAUCUCUUUCUCCUUCACCAGGGCACUCUCCCAAACAGGGGAAUACUCCUUUGUUUUACUUUUACUUUCUUCGUUUUACUUCUUUUCAUGUGCGGUUACUCAUCAUGCCCGCAGAAUUAAGCAAGGGAUAUUUCUGCACAUCUACCGGUAAUCCAACAGGACAAGAAACAAUAGAUUAUAAAGAAUUUUCUAUAGCAUACAAUAACAACCACUGCUGCUUAACCUUUAAAUUACCAUUCACCAGCAAAUUGCCACUGAAAUUUGAUGCAACAUGAAACAACAAUAAAUCCUUGCAAAGAGAAAGCACAUAUUUAAUGAAAUCUUCAGGCCUUCAAGAACAACUGAAACUUGAGACAAAUAAUAAAAUCACAAUGCGUGGCCCUUGAGACGGAAGGGCUGAUUAGAGAAUAUGCUGAAGAUUGCACAGCAGAAGUUGUAAUUGGUGAUUUAAGCUGACUUCUUUAGAUGAUUCCUGAUCCACGACUGGAAAUAUUCCAAUUCCUCAUCCACUAUCACAUGUCCAAGGCCAGGGUAAGCCUGAAAUUUUCAAAAAGCAGCAAAUUAGAUAGCAUUUCAUCUGAAACUCAAUUAUAGUUAAUGAAACAGAUCAUUGGAUCGCUUAUUAAUAUACAUUGGGAAUAUAAAUGUCCUUAGUACAACCUAUCUCAGAUUCUCAAGCACAAAUGGGCAAGAAGACAUAGUGCGGAACUCUACCUUAAAUUCGCAACUCAUGCCAAGUUGUUCUAAGAAGUGGCAACCAGCUUGCCCAGCCUCAAAUAACACAAUAUCAUCAGCCAUACCAUGGAGCCACAAUAUCGGUGUCUGCGUUACAAAAUUGUCACAUUGAAUUGAAUAUAUAACUCUUCGAUAUAAUAUCUUCCCGAGAAAUCAUAUAUUUUGAGUUGCAGUUAAGGAGCAUAGAAGCUGCCUUUUCUUUGGUCGAACUAUGACCUUGCAAAUACCAGCCGCAAAUCACCUUGUGGACAAAAGCGAGCAAUAAUUCUUGUAGAAUAUGUUCAUGCAAAAAGAAGUUUAUCACAAUUGUCCUUCCAGACAAUAAGAAAACGAGUGAACGCAAGGCAAAUUUGAAAUCUCAGGCCAGUCACAGAAGGAACAAUAUGACUAGGGUUCUACAUCUUAGAUCUUGAUCUCUGGCUUCAAUGAAUCGCGAGACGCUCAGCUGCUUGCACCAGAGAAUUUUUGGCCUGCUGAUGAAGAACUUGAUGAAGGAAUUCAGGCAGACUCUCCUUGCUGGUGAGAAGGACGGCCUAACAGGUUGCAGCGAAGCACCAUUUAUGGACGAAGAAGAAGAUCUUCACACUGGCGGAAGGCAUAAACUACUUCUAAGAAUUAAGACUACCAAAACUAAAACUAAAAAAAAUUCUUCUUUAUGAUUGAUACAUGAGAUCAUUCCAAUCAUCUUAUUCUAAACCUCCAUCUUCCAUCAAAUUGACCUAUUAGCAAGCUGUUUGAUAGUUGUUUGCAUCAUUUCACAUGAGCCUCUCUAAAUUGGCUUUAUUAGGUAUAUUACUUCAGUGUGGCUAUGCUUGCUAUGAAGUGAAUAGUUAAAUUGAACCUUCUCUAGAGACUAAACUUUUACUUCGGGACCUAGUAAGCGCUCUUUAACUUUUACGUCUGUAUCCUUGUGAUUACUUUAGGUUCCGGUGUUUGAGUUGAUAUUUGACAUUCCACUGUACAAUCAGUUAGAUUCUUUUGGAGGUAGUGAUCAAACACCCUUCGUUAUUUUCACUGAAAAAUUAAAAACAAGUUUCGAUAAUGAUAUAAAUUUUUUUGAUAAAAUGCUUUCCAAAAUGAAGGUUAAGUAUGCUUAUACAAAUUAUGAAUCAUUAAAAGAGAAAAAUUUUAAAGAUUUUGCCCGGACUAUUGUGUAAUUUCAGAUAAAUCAGUUUUUCUCUACUAAAUUGUGUUUGUAAAAUCAUACAUCUGCUAUGUAGUGAAUUUUACAAUUUUGCACUUAUGUUUAUCAAUUAAAUCUUAAGAUUCAGCAAACUUCAAUAUUCAUUAGAUUUAUAGAUUAGGUUAAUGUGUUACAAGUAACAUCAAAAUUUUGGUCUCUAGGUAUUCUACUAUUCUUUUGUUGGUCAUGUUGACAUGAACUAUGUGAUAGAAGUUAGCUUUGAUGUUGGGCUAGUGACGUGCCUCCAGGUGCUAUGUGAUGCACAUUUGCAUGCCAAUGCUAUGUGAUGCAUGUGCUAUGUGCUUGUGCCGUUGGUGCUUGUGAUGUAUGCUUUGGACCUUUGCCAAUGGGUCGCUUAUAUAAUUGGUUACCAUAUACAUUUGUUUUGAAAUUCCAAUUUUUUCAGAACCAAAAUAAUUAAGUCAAAAUUCUAUUUUUCUCAGUUCGAUUGCAAAAUAUGUUUUGUUUAAAAUUCAAAUUUCUGAAAUUAAGAUUUGUGAAGCUUCUAAGUGAAACCUUGUUACUAUUAUUGUAUUUUCAGUAUGUAAUUUAAUCUCUGAAUAUUUAGAUAAACUAUUCAUGCUUAGCUCGACUAAUGAGGUGGUAUUAAGUCCAAUCAGCUUAUGAAGUAAUUGUUAGUUGCAAAGACCUGUAUUAAUUUCAUGCUUUAAAUAAUGAAUUUAGUAAGAUUAGUUGGUUCAGAAUGAUUUUGAGUUUGAAUAAUUGCAUAAUUGCGGAAUUUUUAGUAGCGGAUUUUAGAUUUUGUGGCCAAUUGAUUUAUUAGCGGUUUUGUGGGAUUCAAACCAGUUAGAUUGUUUAAUUUGUUCUUGCAGUAGCAUGUUACAACUGGAUAUCUACAAGUUUUGUAGUCCUCGUAUUUGCGAUUAAUCAAUUGCACGUAUGUAGCGUCUAUUAUGUCUCGGGUUUGGGGACUGACAAGUUUUUCUUGUCCACGAGCAAUGACGUCAUAGAUCGCCAUCCUCUAGUGUGCCAAGGUGGUGCCUCCACCUGGCAUUGGGUUGUGCUGUACAAUAUCACGCAAGAAAUAAGGUUUCUAGUGGCGAUUAUUUUGUUCAAGCUUUUAGAGACAAACGGUUGUUUAACAUUAUUUCAUAUAGUAUUAAAGCAGGAUACCCCCUAGGAGUGAGGGUGAAUGUUGAAUACAAAAUUUGUGCGAAGUCUCUAAAUUAUGCAGCAUUGUACAUCUCAGCCAAACACAAUAAAAACACAACCCAGAAAAACCAUAUGUAGAAUGUCAGCAAGCCAAGAUAUGAUGAGGGAAAUCCAUUGUGGCAAAAUUUCAUAGAUAAGUCUUUGGUGAAUGUCAUUAAACUGUGUACUGCCAGCUAAAUUGGAAUUUAACUAUCUUUUUAGCAGACAAAAGUUAAGGGAACUCUGGAAAAGCUACAAAGAAAGCUAUUUCGCUGGUUGUGAAACAUAUGUAGUAUAUAAAGCCUAUGCAAAGAUGUUUUCCACAAAAAAGGCAUCAGAGGAUUAUAUAUAUACCUUUCUAGCUUCGAGAGGAAUUUGUUUCUCAAUUGAAGAGCCUAAAGGAACUGAUCCACUGAAGACAACGCCUCCUCCCAGAGUUUUUGGAUAAAGCAUAAUACUUGCUGUGGUUAAGGCACCUGCCAAAACAUUGCGUGCUGCAGGUAACUUCUACAUUUUUAUUUUACCAAAAGAUAAGGUAGUAAUACAUUUACCACGAAAUUGCUCUACCUCCUUGACUAAACCCACAAAUGAAUAUAUUUCCAGGACUUACACCAUCAGCUAUUUCCUUAUCAAUCAUCGCAUGCACAACCUGGACAGCUUUUAGAACUCCUUUCUCAUCUCUUGUAGAUUUCUGGUGACACAGAAGUUGUAACUUGUAAAUGUACAAGCAUAGAUCCAGAUGUGAAAUUAGCUGGAUUAGUUGGAACUUACGGCAAUUGUAAAGUUCUUUAUCAAUAUUUGUGAUAAGCUUCUUUCUUUAUUUUUUUUCCUACAGUUACAAGAAGGCCACGAGAGUGAAUAAGAAGAGAGAGAACAAGAAGUCCAGAAAUUCAGAUUCUAUUUCAAAGGAUAUGAUCUUCAGGAAUGAAACAUGAUAGUAAUUUUAAUUAAUGUAUUGCAUAGAACAUGUUAAUAGUUCUCAUGUGGUAAGCACAUUUUGAUCAAACCACUGAAAUACUGAAGCGGCCAGCUAUCAUUGUGAAAAUCUGGUAAGAACCUUUCCAGACAAACCAAAAUCACUUCUAAGAAGUUGAAUUCUUUGAUUUUAUCACUCAGAUAAAAAUAAGAAGUUAAGAAGCAUACUAUGAAAUCCGAUCCAAGUUCCUUCCAAGCAUCGGAAAAGAAAAAUAAAAUGACAAUUUAGGAAGAAGAAUCAAGGUUAUUUCAGAAGGCAAAAACAUUUUGGGAUCGCUGAAAAUACUUCUUUUGCUGAUAUAUGUGCUUCGUUCAAAUUCUUUUCAAACAUAAAUAAUCAAUCAGAUAAUUAGAUAGAGAAGGGAGGUCCUCCAAUGCAACUGGUAACAGCAACUCACCACAGAAUGAAUAACAAUAGGAUCUCUUAACAUAUAGAGCAAAAAUGAAGUAAUAGCACACCGUUGCUAAUGUCGGCAACUUCGAAACACAAUGUUAGUUCUCUAGACCAAAUUGCCCUAUUCACAGAUUUAGGCAACCAAUAAGAUCAGUUUGCUAUGCUAUAGACCCAUGUUCAUUUAUAAAUUGUUCGAAGGAAGCUAGUAAGCACACUGAUUUGACCUCCCAAAACUUAGAUGGACUAAACUAACAUUUAGCUUUAACUAACAUAAGAUUUCAUUGGCCCUGCGGAAACAUGACUGAGCCUUGAAAGUCCUGAUCAUGUGUCUUCUAUCCCUUAAGUCCAAACCCACCCUCAAAACAGCAGCAUCGCCUUCAAUAUUUUGGUCUGGCACCCAUAAUGUACCCAUUAUUGCAGGGUUCACUACAUUUUGCCUAUACAUUUUAACCAGAAAUUUUCUUAUAAACACGAGUCACAAUCUAGAUAGCCAAGAGAGACAAAUGGUUGAGAAGGAAUUAUGUUGAAAAGUUCAGCCCAGCAACUAUAUUAAUCCAAAAACUUAAUAGGAAAUAGUCGCAUAAAAUGUGCUGCCUCAAAUAAGACAUUUUCAAGGUUACUCAAGAAAGGUUGACAAUGGCAUCAUCUAAUAGUACAAGAAACACGUCCUUGAGCAAAUAUAACUUACGGCAGUAAUAGGCACUUCAGUAAUGUCAAACCAUGCAGGGAUGGCUGCACCACCUACAGGAAAAUAUUUCUUGUACCAAUAAGCAAUAGUAACAUAGCAUCAUAUAGCAAUUGCCAACAGCUAAAUAUAAUUGCAGAAAAGUUACCAUCUUCUUUGCUUUUUAAAGAAUUAGUUAACAUCCUAAUUAGCAUCAGGGACUGAAGGAUUUCAACCAGAUUUCAGUCACUUACCUUAAUUACAGGAAGAAGGGGAAAAAAAAAAUCUUUCAUGCAAAAACAAACGAAUAUAAAGUUUGCAAAAAAGGAAUUUGGAUUGAACUUCUAAUUAAAUGAAACUAAAAUAGAAUUGGAGACAAAAGAAAACUAUAGAUGUACUACUUGUCGUGAACAAAAUCGAAUGGGAUCAGAAUGAAAUUAGUGAAACCUCCUAAUGCGUCUAGUUUAAGUAAAUUGGAAUAGUCGGCUCCCAAGUUGCUGCUUAGUUCAUUUAAGCUAGGAACAGGAGUAGACCUUUCGAAAUGACAUUUCCUGCUACAAUUUUCAGCAUAUGAAAUUUCAAGAUCAAAAACAUCAUACUUAUAUAUGUUAUGCAGUAAUUUGAUAUAGAUUACCCAAAAGGCAUUUCCUAUCCAAACCAAAUCAACCAAAUCAACCAAACAAAGCUGACUGAGACUCAGACCUAAUAAUGGUGAUAGUGGAGCUCGUAAUGAAAGAUAAAUAGAUCUCAAAUAGAUGUAGGCUCAGGAGUACCUUUUGAGAACCGAUCCAUGAACAAAGAGUGUAUGUUGCGUCUGAAGUAAAUAAAGUUCAAUCUAGGCCUAUAUGCAAAGAACGAAGAGUAAUUGAAGAAAAAUCGCAAGAAAAACUAACUAACAAGCCGAUCAAAUAUACAUGAGAAUCCUUUCAAGACAAAUACGGGAUCUAGAAACACAAGAAGUAAUUCAAUUAAGAGAUCGAAAGAGAACAGAAGUGAUUAUAACACCAUAACUCUAAUCAUGUACUCAGACACCUCCAAGUAGAUAUUGAACAAACUGGUUGGGACCACUGCACGGGCGAGUCCACAAAAUAUAGUGCUUGUACCACGAGCACACUCAAAUUCCCAAUCUCUGCUCAAAUCCAUGAGACAAAUGAUUGAGAUGGUGUCUAUAGUGAUUACUGAGUAGAAACCCUAAAUCCUAAAAAUUAAGAAAAGAGGAUCUACACUGAAGAAACCCUAUGGAGUAUGGAGACUGUAAGGUGACUUGAACAAAUUGGAAGUAGAAUUCAACAAACAUCCAUAUGGAUUCGGUCUCGAGUUGCUCUUAAAGUAGAAAACAAGGCUACAGAAAACAAGAAUGCUCAAGAAUAACUGUCUUAACUAUGGGAAAACCCCGUAAAGAAAUCCUACACGGUCCAAUCCGUCUUUCCUAAAAUAUGUAGUGAAUAGUAUAGGUCUCAAUAGGGAUCGGUUCAUUAUUUCAAAGCACUCUAUUCUUGAUAAACUUCAGUAUAAAUUUCAUUUUGUCUAAAUAAGCCCACAAUCUACUAGUCCAUCAGAAUCACUCAUAAAUCAAUGAAGAAACUCUCUCUAAGUGUUGUAAAACUACACAUUAAUACCCUAAGUUUCAAGGAAAGAAAGGAAAAGAAGAAAAUAGACGGGAGAAAACUGAACUUUGACACCCUAGUGUCGGAUUCCAGAAUUUGGUAAGAAAUUUCGGAAAAUAAAACCAUGAAUAGUGGAAUCCUAGGUUCAAGUUUCAGAAUUUGAUAUGGAAUUCCGGAAAUUAAAGCUGCAGGUUUGGGUUCCGGAAUUCCAAUAGAAAAUUUCGAAACAUGCAAAAAAAACAGCCUGAGAAAGCUAUCUUGGAGUGAAAUGCAAUGUGGCUUGUUUGAAAUGCCUAUUUGCAUUUGUCUAACCCCCAUAAAAAGGUCCAAGGGGAGCCCUAACCUUUUUCUCUCUUCCUCUCUUCCUCCCCCAAGAGAAAACCCAUUUUUCAUCUUUCUCCUCCCUCUUCCUCUUCUCCUCCUUCACCAUCUUUUUCAUCCUCAAGGUCUCCUACUUGAAGAGUGAGCUUUAGGUAGCUUGGACAAAGAGAUCUUGAUCUCGAGAGCAACAUUAUUGAAGAGGAGCUCAAGCUAAAGCGAGUGGUAGUAGUAUGUUGAAUUUUUGGGAGAUCUUUGGAGAGCCAAAUUAUUUUCAUGGUUUAGAAACUCUCGAGUGACCAAAAUGAGUUUAUGAAGGGGUUCCAUAGGUGUAUUGUUGCUAUAGUGAGUUUUGAGGUUUUGUCUUGCAAAGAUCCGUCAAUGCUUGAGCUCCUACAUUAAUUUGUAGGGGUUUUUACGGUGAUUUGGGUGGGAACUUGUGAUUUUAGGGUUCUAGACAUGAAACCCUAAUUUUCCAAGAAAAAUUCAAAAUUUAGCAUGCCGUUUGGUCGACUCGCGUUUCAUUUACCUUUGUGUCAUUUUCUAUGUGAGCCUUGAGUGAUCUGGAGUUGAUUCUAGUUGAAUCAACAUUGCGAUUUUGCAAAAUUGCGAAAAUUGCAUGUGGUUUUGCUGUCUGCAAACUAGAAUUUCAAAAGUCACCAGGGAAUUCCAGAACUCAAACCAAUAGAGUAAUGCGUAUACACUAUUUUGCAGAUUUAAGAUGGAGUUUCAGAAUAUGGUUGGGAAAUUCCCAAACUUGAAACUUUGGGAACUUCAAUAAGGAUAGUUUAUGGAUUCUUUUGGUCGGGAAACGCAUCGUAGCUCUGUCUAUGUAACGGUCCGACCCGCUAGCAAUAAUAACUCGUUGGGCCCAAGCUAUUGGCCUUAAAUGCUUAAACCUAGUUAUUAUUACUAGGAUGCGUGGCGUCUUACAUUCCCACUCAGAACCUCUUUUUCAUUCAAUGUGGGACUAUUGGGGUGUUUCAAACUCCCCCCGUUUAAACCAUGGCAUCCUCGUCAGGUUCAAACCCGAUCACACAAACAUAAACCAAAAUUAGUAGGCGAUAUAAGAUUCUAGAGGUAACUCUUACGGGUUCAAGAGGUUGCUUCCACCAAACCCGUGGUAUAGCACUUUAUCCCGCAUAGCACUUAGCUCUCACACUUUCGUCUAGUAUUCCGUUCUAAUAGCAAAAAUAAUGACCGACACAAUAGCAAUAAUAACUCGUUAGGCUCAAAUCACUGGCCCAAAAUGCUUAAGUCUGAUUAUUAUUACUAUAGUGCAUGGCCUCUCAUAUUCUCAAUCAGUACCCCUUUUCUAUCCGAUGUGAGACCAUGGAGAGUUACAGUGUAUGACUAGUUUAUGCUCUUUUUAGCUCCAAGUGACGUCCGGAGAGCCGAGGGCGCACUAUGAUUCCCAUGGAAGGGAACCUAAGGUAAGCGCUUCAAUCUGAAGAGGAUUUAGUGAAACCUCGGUGCGUGGUUCUGCAUGGUUCUAGUUUCUUGCCCUUCUCCAUGCUUCUUUUUACUCCCUAACAAUAAGAUCAUAUGAUAGAUUGAUGCUGGAAUCCUAUUCACUUGAAUACAUGUAUUUCCAUUGUUUACAUGUUCAAAGUAGACAUAUAGUAGCAUGCUAGUUGAACAUUAUCAUAUAGCUAUCGUUGUUUUCUUGUAUAGCCAUAUAUAUAUGAUGCAUGCUAGAUAUAAUUGUUCAUACAGCAUGAUGACAUGAGGACUAGCGGUAGUGGUGGAAUGUAUAUUGACCAAAGUGGCCUUCAUAAUGGAUAUUGGACUUGAUACUUGGUUCCUCUACCGCUACCGAUGUUGUUGAUGAUAGAGUAUGACGACACGAUGCUUUGCUCCUCUAUCACCGUCUUGAUGGCCUGAUCAACCACGUGGUAAAGUCAACUCUUCCAGAAGAAUGACCUGAAACUAGCAGGUUAGGGCACCGCUAGGGACCAAAAGGUUAAGACAAUUGAGCAGAAGUAGCCCGUGACUGAAAGGUUAGGGCCUCGCCUGGGGCUGAAAGGUCAGGGCGCAGAUUGGGUCAUGGUUUGACAAUCCCUUGUAUUAAUUUGAUGCAUAGAUGUACAUUACUUGUAUUCCAGCAUUUCUUGAGUAUGGACUAUUACAUUUCGGUACAGAUUAUGAUACACGCCUAGAUAUUGUACGCGCCUAGUUGUAGAUUUAUUUCAGCUUACCAUUUUUAUCCCCUACCAGUUCAGUAGGUGCAGCUUGCCCUCGUCGAAUUGUUAUACCUAAUGAAAAACUUUCAUUAGUUUUUCACUGCACUAUUUUUAUAGGAAUGUCAAGUGGAGCGAAGAGUGAAGCAACGUGAGAAUCGAGUUAUGGUAGAGCCUCUCCUCUACAGUUACCAUUUUUGUUUUUAUUUAAAUGAAAAUUGUUAACAAAUGUAUUCUUUUUUUUGAGUAAACAGGGUUAAACCCUAUUUGGGAGACAGUUAAACGAACAAAACAAAACAAAAGCCCCUUCGGCUAAACAUAACCCCACAAAUAGAACGACCUGAGGCAAAUCGCUCAGUACCCAAAACUGCAAGAAAAAAGAGGAAACACACACGAAGAGAAAAAUAGGGAGGAAAAGAAAAGACAAUUCACAAUUCAGACACUAUGUAGGAGUUGUCGUCAGUUCUUUAACACCGCAGCCCAAAGCUUCACCGUACAGAGUAUUUCUUCUCCCAGUUCUUCACCUCGUUUAGUACGAUCAUUGAUAAUUAUCAUAUUUCGCUGCUUCCAAAGUUCCUGAAAAAUGUAUUAUUUUUCACAAAUGUAUUAUCAUAUUUCGUGCUUCCCAGUUCUUCACAAAUGUAUUAUUUUGAAAAAUAGGAAGUUUACUAAACAUUUAUAUUAAUGUUUUCAAGUUUAAAAUUCCUAGAUUUUUUUCUACAUAACUGAACUAAAUUGACAUGUGUUUUUUAUCCCAACGUCGUGCACAAGCAGGAAAAAAUUUGUCCAUGUGGCGGGUUUAUUCGCUCACCCAGUUUCGCUUCUAAGUUGGGGCAUGACAUUAUGUGUAGACACUUCAAAGAGAGUGGAUUCGAGGUCUUUUUAUGUUCUAAGUUUCAAUGUUCUUAGGGCUUACAACACAACGUUGACGAUACAUUAUUUGCAAUUAACAUUACUAAUACAGUAAGACUCAAUUGACAACAAUGGGGAUGAUGGUGGUCGAUAAGCAGUAGCUAUGUUCACACUAACAAAGGUGGCAGUGGUGACACUUGCAGCGAUUAUAGUGGUAAGCACCAAUGUUGGCGAUGGUAACAAAGGCAGAUGAUCGUGACUACUUCGAUAACAUAGAAGCCAUCGAUGGAGUUGAUGGUGAUAGUGGUGGCAUUUGAAACAAUGAAAGUGAUAACUAUGGUGGCAGCAAUCUUCAUGACAGUGGCUGAUGUUGGUGGUGGUGGAGGCAGAAAUGAGGCAAGAGUUGUACAAGCAGCAAUACUGGUGUUGGAAGGGGAUGUGAAUGGCGAUGGGGUUGCAAAGUGGUGGCAAUAAUGGUGGAUGUGGUCGUGGCAAUGAAGUGGUGGUAACACUAGUGUCGACAAAGGUAGUGAAUGCUAUAGAGGUUGUCAUAUAAGAUUUUGGGUCUUUUGAUUAUAUAUCCCUCAUUACUAUUCAAAAUUUUCACAUUUGCCCCUCUACUCCCAAAAUACCCCUCUAAACCCUAAAAUCCCAUUGGUAAACCCUAGGGUUAGGCGUAUAUUUGAAGAAAUAUUUUGAAAUCAACAAGCACAUUUUGGUCCUCGAACGGUAUAUUAGAUAUUUUUGACGUAUUGAAGGGUAUAUAGAUAUUAUCCCUUAGGUUUUUGAUGGCUGAUCUCAUUUCAAUUGCACUUUCUUUUGAGGCAAUUCGGCCAAUGUCAUCAACAUGUCGUAAGCACAUAUUUUGAUGAGAAAUUGUUGUGUAAUGUAUAGACCUUUAACCAAAUUGGCGAAGUGCAGAUUAAAGUCCUGCUAGACAUGAUUAAAAUGGCUUUUGAGAAGCUUAGGCUGUGUUUGGUGCGAGUUGAAACCGAUUCGGAUCAAAACACAGUCUGGAUUUAGAUUUUCAGACUUUCUUGACACCCGGAAGAGGUUUUCGGAUGCUCGAAAUCAUUUCGGAUGGCACAACCAAGUACCCGAAAAAAGCGGACGUUCUACUCGACAAUUAGGCUCACAAGAAGGUUAGCCUACGUGCACUUGAAUAGCCUUGUGGGCGUCCGAAACCCUUUCGGAUAUCUCCAGAGGGUGUCCGAACCCCUUUUGAAAGCUCUACCCAAGAGCUCAGGUGCAGGAAGGAUUAAACAUUUGGGCAUCCAAAUGUUCCUGCCGGCACCCGAAACACCUUCCAGACGGCUUUCGCGGGCGUUCGAAUACCUUCAGGAUGCUCAACCCGAGAUGACUGGUCGCGCGGCUCAUUAAAUAAAUAGGCGGUAGAUCUCCCCUGUUACGGGCGAAAUGUGGAACUGCGCAAAUUGGGUGAGUGCCCAGGGCAACUCCUAGAUGCUGCUACAUAGCCUUUGGGCGCCCGAAAGUUCAGGCGAGCGCCCGAAACCCGUCCCAGAGUCUAUAGCUCAUUUUAUUGCAAGUAUGAAAGAUUGAGGGCCUAAAGUGCAAAUGUAGCACUUCUAUAUAACCCCCUCAUCACAUCCAAACCUUACCCUUCUCUCAUUUCACUCCCUCUCUCUAUUCUCUCUCUCUAGAAGGGGGAAAUUCUAGUUGGAAAUUCUAGUUUUCUCCUUUCAUAGAUGUUAGAGAUCUAUCUUCUUUGGGGGAUUAGAGGAGAUCAAGAACUCUUGGUAGAAGCUCUAGGAAGAAGAAGGCAAACAUCUCAUGAAUUUAAACUUAAGUUUAUUGGAGACAUGCAAGAUGACGAAAUUGCUCUAUAGAGGUAUUGGAACUAGAAUGUACGUGAACUAGAGAGCUAAUGUCAUCAAGCGGCAUUGAGCUCGGGACAUGUGAGAACCUAGUCGAUAGGGCCAUUGAGGGAUUUGGAUUACAUGUUGAACAUCAAAUUGCCUAAGUGUCAUCAAGGGGCACUAGGCGUAGCAAAUAUUGAAACUUCACAUUGUGACUUAAACUAGAUCUUCGGGAUGCUAGUGACCAUACCAUGUUAGAGACAUGAGGAUUGGAUNNNNNNNNNNNNNNNNNNNNNNNNNGCGACCAUUUAGGGAUUUGAUUACAUGUUGCAACAUUGCCAAAAUUGCUAAGUGUCUCCAAGGGCACUAGGCGUACAAUGAUUGAAACUUCAAUAUGUGACUUAAACUUAGAUCUUCGCGGGAUGCUAGAUGACCAUACCCAUGUUGAGAGAACAAGGAGGAUUGGAAUAUUUGAGACUUGCGACUAUGCUUCCUUACGCAUUUGUGGCUCGUUUCGCACAUGUCUUGUGAGGGUGCCUCCCUAUGAAGAGAGCCGCACUGGCCACCAUUGAGAGGGGCGGUGAGCGGGGAGCUGCCCGGCGCGGAGUUAGGCCACGGACCUACGAUAUCGCUCGUCGGUAUGUGGAGAAGCCUUAACGAGUCAGUGGGAACAGACACAUCUCCAAGAAGUAGGGAUGUUGGGCUACACACAAUGGCAGCUUAGGCGGCACAUAAGCUGGACUUACCUUUGGUAAGGUCCUUAAUUGAAAAUGGAAAUCGACACGCGUGUUCGAAGUUUAUUAUGAAUCACUACUGAAAUCAGACAGUAGUAGUAGGAUUACGGGACUUAGCGUGCCUAAGGCAUAAGUUGUGACAUUUGGGUAUUCAUACUAACAUGUAGUAUGCCUAGGAGAGUUUGUUUAUUACACUUACUGCAUGUGGAGGUCAUGACAAAUUAAUUGUAUACUUUCCUAUACGGUAUAUAGUAAAGAGCAUGAUAUUACUUGUGAAAUACAUAUAUAUCCAUGUGACAAGAUAGACAAAGUCGCGAUUAGGGAAUGCCAGGUAUUAAUUGGCAAGUCGUAGCUUAGCAUAUAUCGAAUUAUUAUCUUUCUAAUGAACAGAUUGUACCGUACUAUUAUUGUUAGAUCUUAUCCGCUUUCCUUUUGGGGCCUAGUGGCACUGAGCUGAGUCAUAAUGCCCACUGAACUAAAUUCACUAGUCUCACGCCCCCAGUCCUUUUUCUCGGCUUGUUUUUUCACAGAGCAAUUCCACGCCAAGUGGUCGCAGGGAUCGCGGGAUAGGUGAGUUGCUACGGAGCUAGUUUCCUUCGAGGAAGAGUGCUAGGUGGUGCUACCGGUCUCGCGAUAUUUUGACGGCAAUGGUUUUGUGGGCGAGAGGAGGCCGCCUAUUCGAGAGGGUUUGUACCAGUAUACUAGGAGGUGGAAGUGCGGAAAGAUCACCCAUGAACUUUGUGAUGGGAAUUGACUCGCUCAGACACAGGCCCGCGGCAUCGGACGCAAUUUUAAUGGGUGAAUUGUGGAUCAGGUGACGGAAAUCGCGCAUAUUUCGUACCUAUCCAGCCUACUUGGACUGUGAGAGAACUCGAAGAGGUCCAUAUUUGGACACGAGAUUGUGCGACUUGACACGGGGUACCUACUUUAUAGGUAUAGAUCGAGACCCCCCGUUUUGUAUUCCACUUUUGGAGGAGCUGCAGGAGUCGCUGUUUGGGUAUGACGCUUGAUUAGCACAUGGCUCCACAACCCCAGAGUUGACGCAGUCGGCAGCGUACUCAUAUCAGACUCUCGGAGAGCCAUGCUCUCGAGCGACGCGUGAUCGAUUUUCCAGGGAGGAUGGUCCAGCAUCUGAGCGAUGGCAGAGCUUGCUAUAACAAUCAGUUAUCAACAAGCAUUGCAGAUGGCAACCGUUUCGAAGGCACUGCCUAUGGACGGAAGUGUAAGAUCGCUCACGUCAUUGGAGUGAAGUGGGUGGAGAGAUUGCUUUAGGCCCUGAUGUGCUCCAAGGGAGGCAGAGGACAAGAUUCGCAUUGCUCGGAGCGAUUGUUGACAGCCCAAGAGUAUGGCAGAAGAGUUAUCUGAUCGGGCGUCGACCAGAGAAUUGGAGUUAGAUUGGAGACCAUGUGUCUUGAAAGUCUCGGCCGACACAACAAGAUCGAGCAGAUUUGGAAUCGCGGGGCAAGUUGAGCCCCCGAUAUAUUGGACCGUAAUGAGUUUGGUCUGGAGCGUAAUAGGCCCGGUAGCGUAAUUGAUUCUUGUCUAACACGCAAACCUAUCGGUGUAGCACAAUGUGUUUCAUGUAUCGGUCCCUUCGGAAGUACAUCCACGACACCCGGUUCAUUGUUUUGGACGCUACGCCUUUGGAGCUGAGGGAUGAAACUUGAGCUUUGAAGGAGGACCCUGAGGAUUUUGCUCGCGAGGUGAAAAGAUUCGGCGGAACCGAGAAAUCCUUACGUAAGGUGGCUUUGAGCAACCACGACACGCGAGGCACUUGGAGCUGAUGAGCGCACUGCGGAGCGCUAUCCCCAUCUUUUGUUCAGAUGGAGGCUUGAGGUAUUGAUCAUUUCGAGUUUCGCGGACGACUAGACUUUUUAGAGGGGUGAAUGUAACGCACUGGAACCUUUGCAAAUUGCGAGGUCUGAGUGUUGGAUGUAUUUCGAGCUUUCCACACUUGGUGAGGGUUGUAGAAUGUUUUCCGACCUAAAAAGUGUCGAUAAACUGGAAAUUCUGGACAAGUCCUGAGAGUUUUACACGUCACGGGGACCGGUCGCUGAAAGGAGAAGACCCCGCGUCCCCACAGUGAACAGUGAUUGCGACAGCCCUCGGGAGGACGAAGGACCGUCUGGAGGGGCGGCGAGAGGUCCCCUGAGCGCAGGUCUCGCCAGAGAGAUGACCGUCCCGCGCAGGGAUGACGACCGGUUGCCGAACGUUGGUUUUUCGGUUCGCAGCGAGAGACACCGUCCUGCUGGGGGAGAGACCGGUCCCUCUGGGCGAAAACUGCAAGACCGGGCUGAUGCAAUAUUGAUUUUUGAGGGGACCUCUUGGAAUUGUUGUUACCAAUAGACGGGUCUAUAUGACGCUCCACUCUCUCUUCUCCCCAUUUCUUCUUCUCAAACGCCUCUCUACACCCUUGAUAGAGAAGCAAGAAAGAAGAAGGGAGGGAGAGCCGAUGCGUUACCUGAUCAUGUGCUUCGGGCGGCGUGACGACUGGCCCCGCCAUGUAAGGAGGGGAAAGGGAGAAGAAGUUGGAGCUACUAGUGGACUUGGAGCAUUCUCACCCUCUCAUCAUUCCCUUUGGUGCUUGAGAAGCUUGUUUUUGGAGCUUGCAUAGGAGAGAUCUUCAGCUUGAGCAGGAUUGGAGCUUCUAAGGAGGUUGUUGCUCAUUUCCCUCCAAUAGAUUUGUUUUGAAAGUUUUUGUAGAUGGAACCACAGAAAUGAGAAUUUAGGGUAUGAUUUUGGCGCUUUUGAUCUAGAGAGCUUUUGGGGCUAAAUUAAUUGGUUUAAGAACCUUCCUUGGGCUUGGAUUGGAAGGGUUCUAGCUCUCUUUUUGGAGCUUUGGAAAGAGAUUUCUCUCUUGAGGUGAGUCUGACACCCUUUUUGCUCCUAGGUUAAUGUUGAAUCUUACGGUUGGUCGUAAUGCCCGCGUAUCUUUCGCGUUCAAUCCCUUUUAGGGUAUUUUGAAACUCGCGGGACAAUUUGUUCGGCGAAACGAGCCCAUCGGCACGUUCGGUGGUUUGACAUUAGCCACACAAUGAGAAAAUUCUAUUUGUGCUUAAUUAGUAUCAUUAAAAUGAAAAAGCAUGCAAUUCUUAUGUAUUAUAUGUGAUUUUAAAUCAAGGGCUAUUGUAUACAUGCUAAAUGGACUAGCUACUAAUGAUAAUGUGAGUCAUGUAGAUUUGGCUACCUAUAGUUGCAUUUAACAUCACUCAUGUUCUGUCUUGUUUCAUACUUCUAUAGUGUCAUGAUUUGCAUUCCAUGCAUUUAAAACUAAGUUUAUUGAGACAUGCAAGAUGAUGAAAUUGCUCAUAGUGUAUUAGGAACUAGAAUGUACGUGAAACUAGAGAGCUAAUGUCAUCAAGCGGCAUUGAGCUCGGCAUGUGAGAACUAGUGGAUAGGCCAUUGAGGGAUUUGGAUUACAGUUGAACAUCAAAAUUGCCUAAGUGUCAUCAAGGGGCACUAGCGUAGCAAAUAUUGAAACUUCACAUUGUGACUUAAACUAGAUCUUGCGGGAUGCUAGUGACCAAUACAGUGUUAGACAUGAGAUAUGAUAUUUGAGACUUGGACUAUGCUUGCUUGCAAUUUGUGCUCUUCGGCACAUGCUUGUAAGGGUCGCUCCUACAAGCCGGCACUCCCGGAGUUAGCCUACGCGAACUACAUUCGCUCGUAGCGGUAUUGAGAAGCCUACGGGGUCGAGUGGGACAGACACAUCCAAAAGAGUAGGGAUGUUGGGCUACGACAGGCACUUAGGCGCACAGCGAACUAACCUUGUAGGUCCUUAAUUGGAAUGGAAAUCGACACGGUGUUGAGUUUAUUAUGAAUCACUAACUAAUCAGAGCAGUAGUAGAGGAUUACUUGGACUUACCUCCUAGCAUAGUUGUGGACAUUUGGGUAUUCAUACAUACAUGUAGUAUGCUAGGAGAUGUUGUUUAUUGCAUCCUUAUAUGCAUUGGAGUCAUGACAAAAUAUUACUUUCAUAUCGGUAUAUAGCAAAGCAUGAUAUUACUUGUGAACAUAUAUAUCCAUGACAAGAUAAAGUCGCAUUAGGAAUGCCAGGUUUAAUUGCAAGUCGUAGCUUAGCAUUAUAAUUAUUAUGCUUUCUAAUAUGCAGUUUACUCAUUACUAUUAUUGUUAGACUUACCCUUUCUUUUGGGGCCUAGUGGUGCACUGAGCUGAGGUCAGUAAUUGCCCACUGGGAACUAUAAAUUAUAGUUCUCACGCCCUCUUUUUCUCGAUGUUUUUCAGAGCCUUCCACGCAGGGUGAGGCCAGGGAUCGCGGGAAGGGAGUUGCUACGAGCUAGCUUCCUUCGAGGACGAGUUGCUAGGUGGUCUACCUCUCGAUAUUUUACCUUUUUGGCGAGAGGUUGAGGGUUUUACCAGUGUACUAGAGGCCACCAUUUUUGUACUAGAGACAGAUAUUGUACUACUUAUGAUUUCUUUUAUUGUCUAGCUUUACUUCUUUACUUUGUUAUAGAUGUUAGAAUUUUACUCGCUCUGAUAUCAUUAGUUGCUAGAUAUUUCACUUCCUCUAUUGUACCAUUUCUUGCUUUUACUUCCGCUUUUAUUGUAGACGCCUUAUAUGUGUAGACAUAUGGCGGGUCUGGGCGCGCUACCGGGAGGGCCUCCCCCGGUCCCGGGGCGUGACAUCACCACCCACCUCGUGGCGAUGUCGCGACUCUUCGAAUACGAUUCGCCGACUUUACGAUGCCUCGUUGGCCUUCUAGGCGGGAACGAAGCUCCGAGGGUCUCCUUUUGACGAUAACUUCGCACCCAGUAGACGGAUCCUCGAACCGUCUUCGCCAGCGCGUUUAGAAACCUAGCAAUUAGGUUUCCGACCCAUCAAGAGAGAUCAAAACCUUAGAUUUCCAAAAACCCCAAAUCGAAGCCCUAGGUUUGUAUCGAUGGAGAAAUCCAUGGUUCGAGCUUCGGAUUCGAGCUAGAAACAUCUAUUUAGCUCCAAUAGGUUCCAAUAAAACCAACUCCAAGCUAUAAAACCCUAUCAUAAGAAAUCUACCAUUGUAGGGUUCAAAGCUUACCUUCAAAAGCUUGCUCCAACGAGAGGAAGAAGAUGAGGAAGAUGAUCUUCUUCUUUGUCUUCUUCUCCUUCUGCUUCUUCUCCUUUCUCUCCUCCUCUUUCUUCUUCUCCUUCUCUUGCUUCUAGAGAGAGAGAGAGAGAGCAAUGUGAGUGUGGGAGUGGGAGAGAAAUGAGAGAACAUGAGGGAGAGAGAGGUCCCCAAGCCUCAUAAAGGCAGUUUUGCAAGUAACCCCCUCAACUUUUCAUUUUCUGAAACAGCCCUCACUGGGCCAUUUUCGGGUACGGGGACCGGUCCCUCUGAGGGAGGACCAGUCCCCCGAGAGCUGUCCAAAAAAAUAGGCGUACAGGAACCGGUCCCCACCCAGAGGGACCGGUCCCCGAGAGCUUUCUCCGGAAAUACAAGCUACGGGAACCGGUCCCCUCCCAAAGGGACCGGUCCCCGAGAGCAUGAAAUCUGCUCCUUGAGCAGAUUUUACUCCGAGCUCUCGCGGGGCCAUCCUCAAUGCACUUUUGAUGUUUUUGAUGUUCUCGGACUUUCCGAAGCACACCAACUCGACAAUUAGUUGAUUUUGUACGUAGUUAAACUCCCGAAUUUCGAGAAUUCACUUCCCUUACAAUAUGACAGGUAACUCUAGUCUUUUAUCUGCCUUUCGGUCUCAUAUAACAUUUUCUACUACUAUUUUAGCUGAUGGAUCUACCUCUUGUGUCACCGGUUCUGGCAUUGCAAACCCAACGUCAUCAAUUUCUUUGUCAUCUGUUUUAUGUUUACCCCAGUUUUCUUUCAAUUUACUAUCUAUUAGUAAACUCACCCGAGCUUUAAAUUGUUGUCUCAUUUUUUCUCGAUCAUUGUUUGUUUCAGGAUCUUACGACGAAGCAGAUUAUUAGUAGAGGACAUGGUCUAGGUCUCUAUAUCCUUGACAACCAGGUGCCGAGGUCUCUUGCUUGCUCCUGUAAUUUAACUCCUUUUGAGGUCCAUUGUCGGUUGGGACAUCCUUCGUUAUCCACCUUGAAGAAAUUGUUUCCGCAGUUUCAGUCUUUGUCCAGUCUAGAGUGUGAGUCAUGUCAGUUUGCUAAACAUCAUCAUUUACCUUCUGUGUCUAGAGUCAAUAAACGGGCAUCGUCCCCUUUUGAGUUAGUUCAUUCUGAUAUUUGGGGUCCAUGUCCUAUUGUUUCCAAAUCAGGAUUUAAGUAUUUCGUUACCUUUGUGGAUGAUAAUUCUCGUGUUACUUGGAUAUAUUUAAUGAAAAAUCGUUCAGAACUAUUCUCAAUUUUUUGUGCCUUUUGUACUGAAAUUAAAACACAAUUUAAUGUUUCUGUGCGUAUAUUGCGAAGUGAUAAUGCCAAAGAAUACAUUUUAGAAAAUUUUCACAGUUAUAUGACACAGAAUGGCAUCCUUCAUCAAUCCUCAUGUGUUGACACCCAAAAUGGAGUUGCUGAAAGAAAGAACCGACAUCUCCUUGAGGUAGCUCGCGCCUUUCUUUUUCAAAUGAAAGUUUCUAAACACUUUUGGGCUAAUGCAGUUUCCACAGCUUGUUUUCUGAUUAAUCGCAUGCCUUCGUCUGUCUUGGAUGGUGAUAUUCCUUAUACUAUUUUGUUUUCAUCUAAAUCUUUAUUUCCUAUUGAACCUCGUCUUUUUGGUAGUACGUGUUUUGUGCGGGAUGUUCGUCCACAGGUAACUAAAUUGGAUCCAAAGUCCCUUAAGUGCGUCUUCCUUGGGUAUUCUCGUCUGUGCUUCUCUCCUACUCUCGAUCGAUAUAUUGUGUCUGCAGAUGUUACAUUUUUUGAAUCUACUCCAUUCUUUGCUCUUUCAUCUAUUUAUGAAAGUCAGGGGGAGGAAGAUGAUCUCCUUGUUUACAGUAUCAGACAAGUGUCCAGUCCUGCAACAUCUAUUCCUACUCCAUCGGCAAUUGUUCAACCCCUUAUUGUUCAUGUCUAUUGUAGGAGAUUGGCGACUCCUGACUCAGAUCCUCUACCAGCUUCUUCGUCCGAAGAUCCAGUCACUACUAUCACCGACCUUGCCUAUGACUCUGAUCUUCCCAUUGCUCUUCGCAAAGGCAAACGGACAUGUACUUACCCUAUUUCAUCAUUUGUUUCUUAUGACUGUUUGUCAUCCUCUUCUCGUUGCUUCAUUACCUCUCUGGAGUCUGUUUCUAUUCCUAAAUCUGUUGUGGAAGCUUUGUCUCAUCCUGGCUGGCGUGCUGCAAUGGAAGAGGAAAUGAUGGCUUUAGACGCUAAUGGUGCUUAGGAACUAGUAUCCUUACUUGCCGAUAAGCGAGCUAUUGGUUGUAAAUAGGUAUUUAAGGUGAAAAUGAAUACAGAUGGUACUGUAGCUCGCCUAAAAGCCCGCCUUGUUGCCAAAGGCUAUGAUCAGACUUAAAAGGUUGAUUAUUCCGACACUUUUUCUCCUGUGGCUAAACUUGCUUCUAUUCGCUUAUUUAUUUCGUUGGCGGCCACCUCUCAUUGGGUUUUACACCAGCUAGACAUUAAAAAUGGUUUUCUCCAUGUUGAUCUUCAAGAAGAAGUAUAUAUGGAGCAACCACCUGGUUUUGUUGCUCAGGGGGAGUUAGGUCGAGUUUGUAGACUUCGGAAAUCUUUAUAUGGCUUGAAGCAAAGUCCUCGAGCUUGGUUUGGCAGAUUUAGUGAAGUAAUUCCGGAGUUUGGCAUGAAGAAGAGUAAGUGUGACAUUCUAUGUUUUAUAGACAUUCUGAGUCUGGUAUAAUUCUAUUAGUAGUGUAUGUGGAUGAUAUUAUCAUUACUGGGAAUGAUAUUGCAAGAAUCUCAUCUCUCAAGCUUUUUCUUCAAACCCAGUUUCAGACGAAGGACUUGGGGCUGUUGAAGUAUUUUUGCGUAUUGAAGUUACAAGAUGCAAAAUAGGCAUCUUCUUAUCCCAAAGAAAAUAUGUGCUUGACUUAUUAGCAGAAACAGAAAAAUUAGGAGCUAAACCUUGCGGUGCACCAAUGGCUCCUAAUCUCCAACUUACAGCUAAUGAUGAUGAAUUGUUUGAAGAUCUAGAGAGGUAUAGGAGAUUAGUUGGCAAAUUGAACUAUCUUACAGUGACUCCGCCAGAUAUUGCAUACUCCGUCAGUGUGUUAAGUCAGUUUAUGUCUUCUCCGACUGUUACUCAUUGGGAAGCUUUGAAACAAAUUUUGUGUUAUCUGAAGGGAGCUCCAGGGCAUGGUAUCUUGUACAAGAACCAUGGACAAUCAAAUAUUGAAUGCUUUUCAUAUGCAGAUUGGGCGGGUUCAAAGGUUGAUAGGAGAUCGACUACAAGAGUGUUUUUGUUGAAGGUAACUUGGUGUCGUGGAGAAGUAAGAAGCAAAGUGUUGUCUCCCGUUCUAGUGCUGAAUCGGAAUACAGGGCUAUGACACAAUUUCUGUGUGAAGUAAUGUGGAUACAACAAUUAUUGGAUGAGGUUGGUCUUAAGAAUCCACAACCUAUUAAAUUAUGGUGUGAUAAUCAAGCUGCUCUCCAUAUUGUCUUUAAUCCUGUAUUUCAUGAGCGAACUAAACAUAUUGAGAUUGAUUGUCACUUUAUUCGUGAAAAGAUACAACAAAAGAUCAUUUCAACAGAGUAUAUCAAGACUGGAGACCAAUUGGGGGAUAUCUUCACAAAAGCUUUGAACGGAGCUCGAGUUGACUACAUUUGUAACAAGUUGGGCAUGAUUAAUAUCUAUGCUCCAACUUGAGGGGGAGUGUUAUGAAAACUAAAAAUUGUAUAUAUUAUGUUCCUAUUUAGCUAGCAUAAUUUUAGGCAUCUUUCCUUAGAGAUCUUUUCUUAUUAAAUAUCUUAUUAUAGAAACAUUUAUCAUUUAUGUAUAUAUAUCUUUGUAAUUCAUUAUUGAAUGAAUAAGAAGAAUUUGAAUUCUCUUCUUCAGUUUGUUUCCAUGGCUAUGGAAGCGAAGUUUUUCCAGUUCCAUUGUUUGUUUGGCAGGAAGUCAAAGGCAUAAAAACUAUAGUUCCCCGCUUUCUGUGUUUGUUUCAUCAAAUAAUGUUAAAGCCCUACACCCUUAGUAAACUUAUCUCCUACAUAGCUCUCUAGUUAUAUGACAUUGUUGCCUCUUAUAUAAAUUGACAAAUAAUAAAUUAAAUUAUAAUAAAUAAAUAAAAUAAUAUAAUUGUAUCCCCUAUAAAAUUAAAAAUUAUAAUUUAAAAAAACUAAAUUGAUUUUUCGUACAUAAAUUAUAAUAACGCAACUAUAAAACUCUAAAUAAAAAGAGAUACCAACAUUCAAUUAAUCAAAUUUUCAUCAAACUUCCAAUGUGCAAACUAAGUAAAAAACCAUUAACACUUGACUAAUCAAUAUUCAUUAUAUUUCAAACAUAUAAACUAUAUAAAAGAGAAUUUAGAACAACAAUCAAAUAUAUUUAGAAGAGAGAGGCAGUAAUCCUUUCACGAAAAUAGGUUUCCCCUUGUAAUAUUUUUUUUUAAAAAAAUUCUCCCUGUAACAUACCGACUCCCCGAUUAGUUGUACUGAACCUCGGCCAAAUUGGUCGAGGUGCAGUGAGGUGUGAGUUCAAGUGGUCCACGAAGGGUUCCGAAGGCUUCAGAACAAUUAGAAGAGCGUUUGGGACUUGGGAGAGCAAAAUAGAAAAUUUCAAGUCAAAUUGGGCAAAAAUGUUCUCGGGUUCCGGAACCUGAGAUAGGUUCCAGAACCUAGCUGCGUGGGAACCCAUUUGAGCAUGGACAUUGCUCUGAAAACGCAAAACGGUGGGUUUUGUGGAAUUUGCAUGGUUGAGAGGGAUUAUGUUGCAAAUGUCAAGAGGACUUAUAUAUGGGCGCUAAACCCUCUCUUUCUCUCAUUCUCUUCCACACCAACAAAGAGAAGUUCUUUCUCUUUCUCUCUAACCCUCUCCUUCACCUUCUUCUUCUUCCCUCUCUUUCACUAGAAACUCUCCAACAAGUAGGCUUAGGAGUGAAGCAAGCUCUUGUACAAGGGAGUAUGAAGAAAGUAAGGGGGCCAAAGGUGAGUUUUUGAGGUUUUUGGAGUUAGGGUUUUGGUAAAUCCUUCUGAAACAAGUUAGUUAGUAAUCCUACAUGAUUUUAACCUAGAAUAAUGCAUGAAUCCUAUGAAUACUUUGCUCGUUUGCCUAAGAAUAAGUUUCUAGGGUUUUUGAAAGAGGGCUUUUGUCACGCCCCGCGACCGCUACCAAUUUGGCUCGGCCCGGGCGCGUCAAACAGACGCCGAACGGACAGGACCUCCCCUGUCCGUCCAAGGCUAACCAACAGAUCGUGCAUAAGAAUUUACCCAGGAAUCAAUUCAUAAAUACACGAUCAAUAAGCACCACUAGUGCUAUAAACAAGAGCAAGAUACAAGUAUAGAAACAUAUACAAGUACAUAAGAGAGAAGAGACUAUCUAUUACAUUCAUUUGAUUUACUACAUUUAGAUACAUCUUUUACAUUCUUCCAAAAUAUAAAUACAAGCAAUCAACCCUCACCCUAUACAACAUCUACUCUCAAAUACAAAAGGGGUGACGGCUAAUGCAAGAAGAGGAGGUAGCUAAUGCGACUAGAACGCCGGGCCCUUACCGCGAUCCUCACGCUCACCGGGGACACCCGAACUGGAACCUGUGGUAAAAUGGGGGUGAGAACUAACUUCCUUAGUUCCCAGUGGGUUCGGCCGCCGACUCCGCCGAUCUCCCCACUAGGUCCAAGCGGGCAUAAGUAGACAAUCGAUAGAUAGGUAGAUAGAUAAGGAAAGCUGUAAAUGGCGGAAAUGAAGCUACGCUACCAUGCCCAAUCAUAAGUAUAUGAAUGCAUGUCCAAUGAAAUAGGUAAGCAACUAAUCUGUUAUCAUGUCCAAGGGUGAAGCUAUUCACUCGUUCAUUAACCUCAUUUACUUGUUCAUUAAUCUCAUGGCUUACCCGAAGGCUCGCCUACAGCUCACUAGCCAUCUCGACACGUAGGGAGAAUUAACUCACACUACGGACCCGAGACCGUCUGGCGGGGCCAAAUAGGCAAUCCCUGGCGUGACCAACAUCCGGAGCGCACUACUUGUGUGGGGCUUCCAUCACAAGAUUUAACAGACCGUGAGCAUGAUCCAAUCCUCUAAGCUCGAGGAUACCCUGUCCUCUAGAGUCACAAUCAUCAUAUAGUCCAUAGGUGUCGCAUACACUAUUAACUAGAUUGUCCGUUUGUCCGCUAUCGACUAGAUGCCACUCGUUCAUAGUUUACUAUUAACUAGAUGCCACUCGUUCAUAGUUCAUCAUUUUCUCUACAUCAUAGGAUUCACAAUCUCGACCCAAUCCUUAUCAAUCCAAUAUAUCAAUUAUCCGAUGUACGCUACGAUACCAUGAAGGAAAAACAUAAGGAAAGGCAAUGCAUACUAAUCCUAUAAUGCAAUAAUACAAGAUGCAAGAUCAAAUAUACUAAGACAUAGGAGGGAGCCCGAUUGCUUCGGGAUGGACACCACCCACCUCUUGGCGAUGCCGUGAUAGUAGAAAACUCGACGUUGGGGUUCUUGUACGCCGCUUCAACUCCUCGGGGCGAAGCGAGCCCUCGAGUACCCGAUUCGGCGAUUUCUCCGCACCCGCUCGUCGGAUCGAGAAACCGACUUCGCCGACGCGUUCCGGGACCUAGCAAUUAGGUUUGCGACCUAUUAGAUUAGAUCAAAACCCUAGAUUUACCAAAAACCCAAUUCCGUGCCCUAGGAUGGCAACGGGGAAGAAAUCCGUGGUGCGAGCUUCAAUUGCGAGCUCGAACCUUCUCCCUAGUUCCAUUAGGUCCCAUUCAAACCAUAAAAACCCCAAAACCCUAGAAACACCAUUAAAGGGUUUAGAGCUUACCCCUACACAAGGUUCCUUCAAGCUUGAGGGAGAGGGAGAGAAGAAGAUAUCUUCUUCUUCUUCUUCUUCUUAGUCUUCUCUUUCUCUUUCUUCUUCUUUCUCUUCUUCUUCUCCUUCCUCUUCUUCUUCUCCUUCUUCUCUUUCUUUUCUUUUCUUUCUUAGAGAGAGAGAGAAAAGAGGGUAAGAGAGAGAGAGAAAGCAGCUGAGAGUGAGAGAGAGGGGUCCCCCACCUCUAAUAAAGGCCAUUUUGCAUAAAAGCCCCUCAACUUUCACCCUUGUGCACUGCCCUCACUGGGCAGUUUUCGCGCGGAGAGACCGGUCUCCCCGACUUGGGACCGGUCCCCGAAGGCUGCCAUUUCGAGCAGAGGGAUUUUCGCGUUCGGGAACCGGUCCUUGCCUGAGAGACCGGUCCCCGGGAGACCGGUCCUUGUCCGAGAGACCGGUUCCCGAGAGCUGCAUUCUCGGGACUUAGCCAAAUUUGGCUAAGUCUCGCCAGGCCAACGUUCGGGAACCGGUCCCUGCCCACCAGGGACCGGUCUCAUCAGAGACCUCCGCAACCCAGCCUGAUGGAACCGGUCCCUCCCUGCCAGGGACCGGUCCCCGAGAGCAAUUCUGCUCCAGUGCAAGUUUUGCACUUGGUGCUCUCGCGGGCCCUUCCUUAAUGCACUUUAUGCAUUAUAACCACCUUCGGACUUUCCGAAGCCUACGCACUCGACAACUAGUCGAUUCUGGUCGAAGUCUAAUCCUCGAGUUUCGAGAAUUCACUUCCUUACAGCUUUUGAGUUAGUAGGGUUUUGAUCUAAGUUGAUCUUGUAAUCUUCUAAUUGAAGGUUGCCGAAGAAUGCCUAGUAGCUUCUCAUUGAAGAUUGGCGACGUUUCGAUGGUCGAUUGAGCAAAUUGAGCUGAGGUUAGACAAUUGCCUUCGUUAGCGCUGAAGUGCAUCGAAACGGUGUCAGAAGUGAAGUCGCUCGGAUUUCCCCGCAAUUGACAUCGAAUCGAGGUGGGUCGUACUGUCCGGAACAGUUGGAUUUCCUUUUAUGUCUAUGUCGCCAUUGUUGUCAUACGAGUAUAUAUGUGUAGAAAUCAUGCAUUUGGGGUUAAUAUUGUGUUGAGCUUUCAAUUCCUUUGCAUGCUUCCUAAAGUAGGGUUAAAUAAGUUAUAUUGAGAACUCAGACAUUGGAUGCAUGAGGAUUGAGUCGUUGGACAUUGGAACCUUAUGAAUGCAAAGAACUAGUAUGUGAACUAGAAAAUAUUGAACUUGGACAUGAAUGUGGUGGCAAUUGUACUAGAUGUGUUUGAUAGCACUGGUGGCAUUUGGACUAGAUAUGUUAGAUAGCACUUGUGGCAUUUGAUGCUAGGGAUUGGUAGAUCCCCGUAUGUUGUUACCCUGGUCAGUAGGGUGUCCUCGGGAUGAGAGGACUGGAUCGUGCUCAUAUUAUCUGUUUGGCUUGCUGGUGGUCAUGACACCACAGGCAAUGAGCUCCGGAGUUGUCACGUAUGGGUUAAAGUAUCUACCCAGCAGACGGCCCUAAAUUGGUCCCCGUGGGCCUCGGUAUUGUGAGUAGGCUCGACCUCCCAGUGAGCUAGUAUGAUUAGGUUGAAAGGUGAAGUUGGUAAGCAUUCUAAGCAUCAAGAUGUUAUUGUUUACCUAGUUUCAUAUUGUAGAGGCAUAGUAGUUGCAUCAGUUGUUUAUUACUAUUUAUUUCCUUUCACUACUUAUGCCAAUUAGACCUAGUGGGAAAGUCGGCGGGAUCGACAGCCGAACCUACUGAGAACUUCUUUUAGUUCUCACCCCCUUGUUUUGGAGAACCUAGCACGAGCGCAGCGGUCGAGGAUCGUGGCAAGGGCAUAGCGCCCUAUGUAGUGGACUUCCAUGUGCUAGUGUACCCACAUGUUAGAGAAAUAUUUUGUAUGUCAUGAGAGAACUUGUAGUUUAGGAAAGACAUGUAUAAGCUUCACUUUGGAAAAUGAAAAUGUAAGUCAUUGUAAUAUGCGUGUAUGAAAGUAUGUGUGGCAAUGGAUGUACUUUGGGUUGUUUGUAUGUGAAGCUUGUAUGUUAGUUGUGAUUAGUUAAGUAAUCAUCUCUCUCGCUCUUGUAAAAUUACCCUCGUGCAAUUCAUGUAUGUUGAUUGUUUUUUUGCCUUAGCAAAAACUCUAUGUACAUGCUGUUGUUGAGCCUUGGGCAAACUGGGGAGGCUCUGUCCGUUCGGCGAUCUAUGCACGCACCCGAACAGACCAAAAGGGCGGUCUCCGGGCGUGACACUCUCACUUCUCCCCUUAUAAUUGAUUUCAGCCUAGGAGUGAGCUAAAGUCAAUUACCGUGUUUUAGAAAACUUGAGUUUCGACCGUAGUUAUAUUACGGUGAACCAAAUAGCAAAAGUGGCCGUUUACAGCCGAAAACCACUUCGCCCCUCUCCCUUUCACAGGCCCUAUGUGUUCGAAACAUCGGCCGUUUACAGCCACUGUUUCAAACAACAAAAGUGGCCAUUUAUAGCCGAAGACCACUUUGGCCCUCUCCACUUCGGCGAAAAACAGGCCUUAUGUAUGUUAGAACAAAAGCAGAAAAUAUCUAGCUCGUCGGAUGUGAAAAUACCAAAAGAGAAUCGAGAAAGAGAGAAGAAAAAUAAAGCACACAAUAUUUUUGUUGUUCGGCCACCAGCCUAAGCUCACGGACGAAGACGGAGCAAAGACUUUAUUAAUGUCGAAACAAAGAAGAUAUCUCUCAAAUUAAGAUCCCAAAAAUAAAGUAUUUGUUUGACAUGCAUAUGCAUAUAGCAUCUCCAAUUUAGCACGUCUGUACAAUGGGAUCUGGAGGAGCGGCUCACCCAAAGAAAAAACACAUACGACAACUCUCACCUUGGUUGAUUAAUUAGUUAGAGCACCCCUGGAGUCCUCUCAGCCAGCAACAGCAACUUGGGCUAAUUAAUUAGAGCAUGGCUUCACAAAGCAUGGCUUCACAAUUAGCACCCCGGCCUCAUUAACAUAGCCGCAUAUAUAUAUUGUAUGGCUCUAGUAUCCAAGUUAGAGUCUAAUUAGAACUCUAAUCUAAUUGGAUUUCUAAACACAAGUCUAAGUCUAAUUCUAAUUCAAUUAGAAUUAAACUUCUACUCAUAAUUCAUAUAGGCCCAAUUAAAUAUAAAUUAUAUCUAAUCCUAAUUAGAUUAGGAUUUAACUCCAAUUUAGAUAGCUACAAAUCUAAAUCAAAUUUAACAAUCUCCACGUUGAUUUAAUAUGUAGUGUCGCCGCUAUGUCGAGAUCGCCACAAAACUCCAUCUUGAAUUUAAUUUGCCUCAAUGCUCCUUAAUGCUCUGUGCUUCGUCUUCUCCAAACGCCCUAUAGGGCCUCAAGUGCUGCCAACCGCCACCAAGUCCAAACAAUUAAACCAAAAUACAACCAUCUCCACUCAAAUUACAUACAUGCUUUAAUACAUGACAUAUACAUGAUCAUUUUCCAAAAUGAAACCUCUACAAGUUCUCUCCUUAUAUACAAAACAACUCUCUAUAUCAUAGGGUAAUGCUAGCACAAGGAGGUUCUCUGCUUAGGGCGCUAUGCCCUUACCACGAUCCUCGACUGCACCACUCGCGCUAGGCUCUGCAAAACAAGGGGAUAAGAACUAAAAAAAGUUCCUAGUGGGUUCGGCCGCUAACCCCGCCAACUUUCCCACUAGGUCCAAUCAGGCAUAAGUAGUAAGAAAAAGGAACAAUAAUAUACAACUGAUAAACUACUAUGCCUCCGCAAUAUGAUACUGGGUAAACAAAUAAGCCACUAUGCUCAUGAUGCAUAUCAUUUCUAUCUUUUAACCCAAUCAUACCGACUAACCCGAAGGUCAAGCCCAACUCACAAAACUAGAACCCUCAGUUGGGGAGAAUUCCGCUACAACCCAUCUGAGACCGUCUGCUCGGGAGAAUUCCGCUACAAUCCAUACGUAACAACUCUGAAGCUCACUGCUUGUGGUGUCGCAACGACCAACAAGCCGAACAAACUAUAUGUGAGUACGAUCCAAUCCUUUAAGCUCGAGGAUACCCUACUAACAAGGGUAAUCACACUCGGGGAUCUACCAAUCCCAAGCAUCUAUUGCCACAAGGUGCUGUCAAACACAUCUAGUCAUAAAAUGCCACCAAUGUUUCACUAUGUUGUCUAGGUUCACAUUUUGGUUCUUUGCACUUAUAGGGUUCCCAACAUUCAACGACCCAAUCCUCAUGCGUCUAAUGUCCAAGUUUUCGAUUCAAGUUUUCUAACUCCACUUUAGAAGCAUGCAAGGAAUUGAAAGCACAAUACAAUGAUAACCCUACAAUACAUAAUAUCUACACAUAUACAUAAUAUGACCAACAAUGGUAACAUAUAUAUAGGAAGAAAUUCAACUAUUUCAAAUAGCACCACCCACCUCAUAUCGACGUCUAGAAGCGAGAAACCAAGCCUCGCGAUUUAUCGUCGCCGAUUUAGCUCAACCCAAGGCUAACGAAGGUGAAUCAGCAAUUUUUCUCAAUAGGACGCUGUAGGCUCGUAUGAACUCCAAUUCGAGUGGCCUCAUGCGUUGAUUUAUCCUUCAAUUAGGGAAAUAAGGGAUCAAUUUCACCAUAAACCCUAUUUCCACAAAAAUUCCUAAUUAUGGUCCUAGGGUUUACACCAUUGGCAAACACCCAAAUUUCUUGUGGAUUCAUAGGUUACCCUAGGUUAAUAUCUCUUAAGAAUCCCAAAAAUAUCAUUUAGAAGAGAAUUAAAUCAAACCCUAACUCAAAUUUUCAAAAACCUCACCUUCGCCUUAUUUACUCCUCAAGCUCCUCCUUAUUCUUGAGAUUCUUCUUCCCUCAAAAGCUCUAAUCAAUCUAAUCUUCUCCAAUCCUCUUCUUGUUGGAGAGAUUCUAGAGAGAGAGAGAGGAGUUGAGUGAGAGUGAGAGGAAGAGGGUUCUCAUGUAGAGAACAAGAGGUAUGCAUUAGUCUAUUUAUAAGCUCCCACCAAUUGCAAAUUAACCCCUCUUUUCAAUAUUCACACCUAUUCAAAUUCUACAUCUCGCAAAGUUGUGUAUCGAUACUCGAAUUGGCGUACCGGUACGCCAGCCCUCAGUACUGGUACCCCCGAACCCGGUUCCUCAAAACCCGAACAUUAGAUUUUCAGAUCAUCAAUUGGGUUUCGGUACCGAGCCUUCCAGUACCGGUACUCAGCCUUCCGAUACCAGUACCCUUGGUUCAAUUCUGCAAAACCCGAUAGCUAACUCCUCUGCACUUUGUAUUGCGUACCAGUACCCAAAAUCCAGUACCGAUACUCAAUACAAAACCUGCAGCUUUAACAUUUCGGAGUUCGUUUUCGCGUCUGGUUGCGCCGAAAACACUCAAACACUCCCAAAAGUCACUUCUAAUAGCUCCAAAGACUUCGGGCCAAUACACGAACCUCUCCAAUCGCCCCCUCACUAGGGCUGGCAAAUGAGCGAGCCAGCUCGUGUUCGACUCGUGUUCGGUUCGAUAUUCGGCUCGCUCGAGCUCGGCUCGAAUUAAUUUCAAGCAAGCUUGAGCCUAAAUUUAGGCUCGAAAUUAAUUUCAAGCCGAGCUUAAGUAUUACUCGGUUCGCUCGAAUUAAGCUCGAAAAGCUCGAAAUACAUAUAUAUAAAAAAUUAGUCUACUAUACUAUUAUUAAUAGUACCAACCACUUGCUAUUAGGUUUUCGGCCUUUAGAUAAAAGAAUGUGCGGUUAGAAUGAUAGUGAUCUCCUAGGGUUGAGUGGGUGAUUAGUUGAAUAAUAUGAUAUAACGGGUGAAAAUGUUCAAAAAGGUAGAACUAACGGCACAAAAUUUGUAAGUUACAAGGAGCCCUAGGAUCUUUUAUCUAGAUACUAUCAAACACCUAGAGGGGGGUGAAUAGGUGUAUAGGCCAAAAAACCACAAAUCUCAAUGCGAUAAAAAAUUAAAUGCGGAAAAUAAAAAUCACACCGAAAUUUACGUAGGAAAACUCCAACUUGGAGUAAAAAACUCACGGGACCAACACGCGAAAAAACAAUUCACUAAGAGAAAAGAUCACAAGGUGAUUACCGACUCCACGGACUCGACCUCUCUUAACCUCCUAUGAAUCUGGCUCAAUCCUCCGGGUUGUCCACGCCCUCACGUUCGAAUCCACGAACGCCAUGCACACGUCCGGAUCCACGAAUGCCACUCGAAUCCUCGAGCCCAAGAUUUGAAUCCUCGAACCGCCUUCGAUCACGCCGAAUCCACGACGCCGUCCAUGAAGAACAUCAUGAUUAUGGUGAUCCUUCGUUUAGAGUAUCGAUGAAAACCAAAGAAGAAUCUCUAAGCGAAGCGUAGAUCAAUUCGAUAUAUAGAUAUCAAUUUUUAAUAUCUCGAAUUGACCUAAAAUAGGAUAAUUUGUAGAAAAUAGGUUUAGAACGAAAUCCUAGCCUCUAGGGUUUCUCUAUCAUGUAUUCUCGUGAUGUUCAAUUAGUUAGAGAACCCUAAUAGCUUAUUCAUAGACUUUAGAAUCAAUUAGAGUCGGAUUAGAACGAUUUAGGAAUUUUACACUGCGUACCGGUACUGCAUCAAGUUGGUACCGGUACCAAAAGACGGAACAAAAAUUCCUCAGGCUGCGGUAUAGGUACCAGGCCGAUGCCGUACCGGAACCAGCUGCAGUACCGGUACCCAGCCAAUGCAGUAUCAGUACUCUAUGCAAUUUCGAGAAUUGCAUCACCUGACCACUUCUAAUCCUUUAAAUCAUUUAAUUAUAUGAUUCUAAUGUCAUAAAUAAGUAUAAAUCACCAUAACAUGAAUUAAAACUUACCUUAGCAUCGUGAUUCAUGCCGUGAGAUAUUUCUGAGUUCUCGAAGUCUUGGUUUCUUCAAUCUUCUUCAAUCACGCACCGAACCCUUCAAGACUCCAACUCAAAUCACGAAACUUGCCAACACAAAAUACUUAACAAAAUUCGAUAGCAUCAAGCAUUUGGUACUAUCCAUAAUAUAGUAGCCGGACUCUCUCUCCCACUCUCUCUCUAUAUAGUCCAGCUACUAUACUAUCUAUAUAAUCGAUAGUACUAAGCGCUUUGUAUUAUUGAGUUUACUACCGUUAGAUCUGCCUAUAUAAAUAUAGAGUCCGGCUAUUAUACUAUCGAUAUUACCAAGCAUUUGGUGCUAUCGAGUUUUCUACUGUUAGAUCUAUCCCUUUGGCCAUUUUCAUUCGUCAGAUCAUACUAUUCAACUAGCCACCCACUCAAUCCUAGGGGGCUACUAUCAUCCUGACCGCACAUCCCUUCAUCCAAGGGCCGGAAACCUAAUAGCAAGCGGUUUGUACUGUUAAUAAUAUAGUAGAAUAAUUCUAUAUAUAUAGGCGCAUCGGGCUACUAUACUCUUAUAAGUAUAGAUCUCUCUAUACUUAUAAAUUUUCAACCGUUGGAUGUGCGAUUAGAAUGAUAGUGGUCCCCUAAGAUUGAGUGGGCGGUUCGUUGAAUAGUAUGAUUUAACGGAUGGAAAUGGUCAAAAGGAUAGAUUUAACGGUCGAAAACUUAUGAGUACAAAGGGGUUUAUACUUAUAAAAGUAUAUAUAGUAGCCAAACUCUCUCUCUCUCUCUCUCUCUCUCUCUCUCUCUCUAUAUAUAUAUAUAUAUAUAUAUAUAUAUAUAUAGUAGGGCUACUAUACUCUUAUGAGUACAGAGCCCUUCGUACUCAUAAGUUUUUUUCGAUGUUGGGGCUUUCGAAUCGAAGAUCCACACUGUUAAACAUGAUCUAGAGUAUUUGAAACUUCUAGAAAAUAAAUUUCAUAAUUUUUUAAAUCAUUAUAAAGUCCAUCAAGCGGGUAUGAAAUAAAUGGUCAAAAUCGAACGACAUCCUAAAAAUGGAUGAUCGGAUCCUUCAAUUUAAGAUCGGAGUUAUUGAUCUUUAUUUAGAUAGUGAAUAUAAUUUUCUAUCAAAAAUUAAAUCUAUUCCGAUUCUUUUACACCGUUAAACUAACAAAUAUCUCAUACCGGCUGUUAAAAAUUGUCAAUUUUGUGAGCUUUUGAUCGUAAGGUAAAUGAUAUCGAAAAAUUAUAAAAUUUGAUUUAUAGAAGUUUUAAAUGCUCUAGAUAAUGUUUAAUGGUAUGGAUCGUCGAUUCGAAAGCUCUAUCAUCGAAAACAAUUUAUGAGUACGAAGACGAUCGUACUCAUAAGAGUAUAGUAGCCGGACUCAUAUAUAGUAGGGCUACUAUACUCUUAUGAGUACAGAGCCUUUCUAUACUUUUAUAUUUUAAUUAUAUAAAAUAAUAUUAUUAUGUAUUUUAAUUAUAUGUAUAUAGAAUUUAGAUUAUUGGGCCCACAAAACCAAACCAACAAAAUCAUACUCUAAUUGCUCUCUUUCUAUCUUACUUCCUCGCAGAGCCGCUUUCUCUAAUAUUUUUUAAUAUUAUAAUAUCGUAAUUCAUACAUUAAUUUUGUAUGUUAAACUAUUAGAUAUUUUUUAUAUCAAAUUUUAGAUAAUGUUUAUAAAAAUUAAACUAUAGAUUGCACGAUGUUAAGAAUUUCAAGCAGCUCGUUUAGGGCUCGAGCUCGCUCGACUCGAAGUUAGGCUCGCUCGAGCUCGGCUCGAAUUAAUUUCAAGCGAAGCUUGAGCCUAAAUUUAGGCUCGAAAUUAAUUUCAAGCCAAGCUUGAGCUAAGAUAAACUUGUUCGAGCUCAGCUCGUCUCCACCCCUACCCCUCACUAAACUUCGACCAAUUUGACCAAAGUUCGGUACAACGUAUGGGGGAUUCAGUAUAUUACAAUAAACAAUCGUCGGAUCCCAAUAAAAAGUAAGCUCUCCAAAUAAGUCUCUUAGCCACAAAUCGGAUUCCUAUGUUUUGACUUUGAUUUAAAUGUACCUCUAUUACCGGAACCCUUUUCCUGAGACCUCCCUCUAGCGACUAAACCUACUUCUAAAGCUCCACCUGUCUCAUUGCUUAUCUGCAUGUCAAUCCUCUCGUUUGAAAGUAAAGAGGAUUUAACAUCAUCGAGAUAGAGUACCUCGUCCAAACAAGGUCUCACGAAAAUUCUUGUAAGAGAGCAGUAUAGAACAUAAUAGUAAAAGGGCUUCAUCCUCCUCCUCGAUUUUAACAUCUAUCGAGCGAAGAUUCAUAAUAAUAGAAUUAAGGGUUAAUUGCAUACACGUCCCUGCAAACAUGGUGAAUUGCAGAUAUAUCCCUGCAAAGCUCAACUUUCAUAAGUUAUCCCUGCAAAAGCCCUAAUGUAUUCAGAUAUGUCCCUCUAGUUAGGAUCCGUUAGAGAGCUAUUAAAUUUUUAACAG
RNAcentral lists this long non-coding RNA (35740 nucleotides) under Ananas comosus (pineapple). Its description in RNAcentral is "long non-coding RNA (ACOM_LNC041430)". Lineage: Eukaryota; Viridiplantae; Streptophyta; Magnoliopsida; Poales; Bromeliaceae. The record is from RNAcentral.